This 386-nucleotide unclassified non-coding RNA is filed under the name Micropleura renifolia. Its description in RNAcentral is "partial contains external transcribed spacer and 18S ribosomal RNA". The record is from RNAcentral. Lineage: Eukaryota; Viridiplantae; Streptophyta; Magnoliopsida; Apiales; Apiaceae.
UGUCCCCGUCGGUUGGAUCCCCGCUUCGGGCGGCGACGACCGUUCGGGCAUGGCUCUUCAUUGUUGGUCCAAGUGCUCUAAUGCCUUGGGUCGGCCUCGGUCGCCUGUGUUGCAUACCCACGAUGACGGAAUUCGUGUUUAAAACAGUCCCUCACCACCUCGUGCUGCUAUGCGGCACGAGAUGGACCAUAUAGCUCCCCAUUUUGUCCGUGCCCGCACCACGUCUUUCGUGUUGCGAGCAAACGGCCAACUUGGUGGUGCUUGAUGCCUCGGAUACAGAAACCUAAUGAGGGAGAGGGGUUACGGUCCCUGCUUUCCCAACGCAAGCGUUCUCGCUUCUCACGAAUGACUGGCGUGCCCACGUUGAGCCUUGGGCGCCCCAAAGG